This 206-nucleotide ribosomal RNA is filed under the name uncultured bacterium. RNAcentral's name for it is "partial 16S ribosomal RNA". It matches the Rfam family "Bacterial small subunit ribosomal RNA", at positions 568 to 774 of the family's 1533-position model. The record is from RNAcentral.
CGCGUAGGCGGUUCGCUAAGUUGAAUGUGAAAACUCUGGGCUUAACCCAGAGCCUGCAUCCAAAACUGGCGAACUGGAGUACUGGAGGGGAAAGCGGAAUUCCUGGCGUAGCGGUGAAAUGCGUAGAUAUCAGGAGGAACACCGGUGGCGAAGGCGGCUUUCUGGACAGUAACUGACGCUGAGGCGCGAAAGCCGGGGAGCAAACA